This 253-nucleotide ribosomal RNA is filed under the name uncultured bacterium. RNAcentral describes it as "partial 16S ribosomal RNA". It matches the Rfam family "Bacterial small subunit ribosomal RNA", at positions 524 to 776 of the family's 1533-position model. The record is from RNAcentral.
UACAGAGGUCUCAAGCGUUGUUCGGAUUCAUUGGGCGUAAAGGGUGCGUAGGUGGCGCCGUAAGUCAGGUGUGAAAUUUCGGAGCUUAACUCCGAAACUGCAUUUGAUACUGCGGUGCUUGAGGACUGGAGAGGAGACUGGAAUUUACGGUGUAGCAGUGAAAUGCGUAGAGAUCGUAAGGAAGACCGGUGGCGAAGGCGGUCUGCUGGGCAGUUUCUGACACUGAUGCGCGACAGCGUGGGGAGCAAACAGG